AACGAACGCUGGCGGCAGGCCUCAAACAUGCAAGUCUAGGGGGUGUAGCAAUACAUCACCGGCGGACGGGUGCGUAACGCGUGGGAAUAUACCUAUUGGUUCGGAACAACUGAGGGAAACUUCAGCUAAUACCGGAUACGUCCUAACGGAGAAAGAUUUAUCGCCAAUAGAUUAGCCCGCGUUCGAUUAGCUAGUUGGUGGGGUAACGGCCCACCAAGGCGACGAUCGAUAGCUGUUCUGAGAGGAAGAUCAGCCACACUGGGACUGAGACACGGCCCAGACUCCUACGGGAGGCAGCAGUUGGGAAUCUUGGACAAUGGGGGAAACCCUGAUCCAGCCAUGCCGCGUGAGUGAUGAAGGCCU
Molecule: ribosomal RNA, 363 nt
Filed under: uncultured bacterium
Lineage: Bacteria
Description: bacterial SSU rRNA
Rfam family: Bacterial small subunit ribosomal RNA
Source: RNAcentral